RNAcentral lists this ribosomal RNA (497 nucleotides) under uncultured bacterium. RNAcentral's name for it is "partial 16S ribosomal RNA". It matches the Rfam family "Bacterial small subunit ribosomal RNA", at positions 28 to 507 of the family's 1533-position model. The record is from RNAcentral.
GAUGAACGCUGGCGGCGUGCCUAAUACAUGCAAGUCGAGCGAACAGACGAGGAGCUUGCUCCUCUGACGUUAGCGGCGGACGGGUGAGUAACACGUGGAUAACCUACCUAUAAGACUGGGAUAACUUCGGGAAACCGGAGCUAAUACCGGAUAACAUGUUGAACCGCAUGGUUCAACAGUGAAAGACGGUCUUGCUGUCACUUAUAGAUGGAUCCGCGCCGCAUUAGCUAGUUGGUAAGGUAAUGGCUUACCAAGGCAACGAUGCGUAGCCGACCUGAGAGGGUGAUCGGCCACACUGGAACUGAGACACGGUCCAGACUCCUACGGGAGGCAGCAGUAGGGAAUCUUCCGCAAUGGGCGAAAGCCUGACGGAGCAACGCCGCGUGAGUGAAGAAGGUCUUCGGAUCGUAAAACUCUGUUAUUAGGGAAGAACAAAUGUGUAAGUAACUAUGCACGUCUUGACGGUACCUAAUCAGAAAGCCACGGCUAACUACGUG